AACGAACGCUGGCGGCAUGCCUAACACAUGCAAGUCGAACGAACUCUUCGGAGUUAGUGGCGCACGGGUGCGUAACGCGUGGGAAUCUGCCCUUGGGUACGGAAUAACUCAGAGAAAUUUGUGCUAAUACCGUAUAAUGUCUUCGGACCAAAGAUUUAUCGCCCAAGGAUGAGCCCGCGUAAGAUUAGCUAGUUGGUGGGGUAAAGGCCUACCAAGGCUACGAUCUUUAGCUGGUCUGAGAGGAUGAUCAGCCACACUGGGACUGAGACACGGCCCAGACUCUACGGGAGGCAGCAGUGGGGAAUAUUGGACAAUGGGCGAAAGCCUGAUCCAGCAAUGCCGCGUGAGUGAUGAAGGCCUUAGGGUUGUAAAGCUCUUUUACCCGGGAUGAUAAUGACAGUACCGGGAGAAUAAGCUCCGGCUAACUCCGUGC
RNAcentral lists this ribosomal RNA (433 nucleotides) under uncultured Alphaproteobacteria bacterium. Its description in RNAcentral is "bacterial SSU rRNA". It matches the Rfam family "Bacterial small subunit ribosomal RNA", at positions 29 to 508 of the family's 1533-position model. Lineage: Bacteria; Pseudomonadati; Pseudomonadota; Alphaproteobacteria. The record is from RNAcentral.